CGAAGCAACGCGUAAGAACCUUACCAGAUCUUGACAUCCAAUUGACCAUCUUUUAAUCGAGAUUUUGCCUUCGGGUACAAUUGAGACAGGUGGUGCAUGGUUGUCGUCAGCUCGUGUCGUGAGAUGUUGGGUUAAGUCCCGCAACGAGCGCAACCCUUGUGUUUAGUUGCAAACAGGUAAUGCUGUGCACUCUAGACAGACUGCCGUGGACAACACGGAGGAAGUGGGAUGACGUCAAGUCCUCAUGGCCUUUAUGUCCAGGGCUACACACGUGCUACAAUGGGUGGUACAAAGAGCCGCGAACUCGCGAGAGCAAGCAAAUCUCAAAAAACCAUCCUCAGUUCGGAUUGGAGUCUGCAACUCGACUCCAUGAAGCUGGAAUCGCUAGUAAUCGCGGAUCAGCAUGCCGCGGUGAAUACGUUCCCGGGCCUU
Molecule: ribosomal RNA, 432 nt
Filed under: uncultured Syntrophus sp.
Lineage: Bacteria; Pseudomonadati; Thermodesulfobacteriota; Syntrophia; Syntrophales; Syntrophaceae
Description: bacterial SSU rRNA
Rfam family: Bacterial small subunit ribosomal RNA
Source: RNAcentral